AACGAACGCUGGCGGCAUGCCUAACACAUGCAAGUCGAACGAGACCUUCGGGUCUAGUGGCGCACGGGUGCGUAACGCGUGGGAACCUGCCCUUAGGUUCGGAAUAACUCCCCGAAAGGGGUGCUAAUACCGGAUAAUGUCUUCGGACCAAAGAUUUAUCGCCUUUGGAUGGGCCCGCGUUGGAUUAGCUAGUUGGUAGGGUAAAAGCCUACCAAGGCGACGAUCCAUAGCUGGUCUGAGAGGAUGAUCAGCCACACUGGGACUGAGACACGGCCCAGACUCCUACGGGAGGCAGCAGUGGGGAAUAUUGGACAAGGGGCGAGAGGCUGAUCCAGCAAUGCCGCGUGAGUGAUGAAGGCCUUAGGGUUGUAAAGCUCUUUUGCCCGGGAUGAUAAUGACAGUACCGGGAGAAUAAGCUCCGGCUAACUCCGUG
This 433-nucleotide ribosomal RNA is filed under the name uncultured bacterium. RNAcentral's name for it is "partial 16S ribosomal RNA". It matches the Rfam family "Bacterial small subunit ribosomal RNA", at positions 29 to 507 of the family's 1533-position model. The record is from RNAcentral.